This 919-nucleotide ribosomal RNA is filed under the name uncultured Bacteroidota bacterium. Its description in RNAcentral is "bacterial SSU rRNA". It matches the Rfam family "Bacterial small subunit ribosomal RNA", at positions 1 to 916 of the family's 1533-position model. Lineage: Bacteria; Pseudomonadati; Bacteroidota. The record is from RNAcentral.
GGAUCCAGACUUUGAUUCUGGCUCAGGAUGAACGCUAGCUACAGGCUUAACACAUGCAAGUCGAGGGGCAGCAUGUCGGUUGCUUGCAACCGACGAUGGCGACCGGCGCACGGGUGAGUAACGCGUAUCCAACCUACCCUUGUCCAUCGGAUAACCCGUCGAAAGGCGGCCUAACACGAUAUGCGGUUCGCAGCAGGCAUCUAACGUGAACGAAAUGUAAAGGAGAAGGAUGGGGAUGCGUCUGAUUAGCUUGUUGGCGGGGUAACGGCCCACCAAGGCGACGAUCAGUAGGGGUUCUGAGAGGAAGGUCCCCCACAUUGGAACUGAGACACGGUCCAAACUCCUACGGGAGGCAGCAGUGAGGAAUAUUGGUCAAUGGACGAGAGUCUGAACCAGCCAAGUAGCGUGCAGGAUGACGGCCCUAUGGGUUGUAAACUGCUUUUAUAGGGGGAUAAAGUGUGCCACGUGUGGCAUAUUGCAGGUACCCUAUGAAUAAGGACCGGCUAAUUCCGUGCCAGCAGCCGCGGUAAUACGGAAGGUCCGGGCGUUAUCCGGAUUUAUUGGGUUCAAAAGGAGCGUAGGCCGUCUUAUAAGCGUGUUGUGAAAUGUCGGGGCUCAACCUGGGCAUUGCAGCGCGAACUGUGAGACUUGAGUGCGCAGGAAGUAGGCGGAAUUCGUCGUGUAGCGGUGAAAUCCUUAGAUAUGACGAAGAACUCCGAUUGCGAAGGCAGCCUGCUGUAGCGCAACUGACGCUGAAGCUCGAAAGCGUGGGUAUCGAACAGGAUUAGAUACCCUGGUAGUCCACGCGGUAAACGAUGGAUGCUCGCUGUUUGCGUCUGACGUAAGCGGCCAAGCGAAAGCGUUAAGCAUCCCACCUGGGGAGUACGCCGGCAACGGUGCAACUCAAAUGAAUUGACGG